This 293-nucleotide long non-coding RNA is filed under the name Gossypium raimondii (Peruvian cotton). RNAcentral describes it as "long non-coding RNA (GRAI_LNC010971)". The record is from RNAcentral. Lineage: Eukaryota; Viridiplantae; Streptophyta; Magnoliopsida; Malvales; Malvaceae.
ACAGCUUCCUCGGGAUCAUCUACAGUUUGAUUGAUUUAGCCGGCGUCUGUCGUAGAAGAAAGGCAGUUGAAGGUUUUAAUGAUUAAAAUAUUGGAUCCGUCGUGUUGAGAAUUCCGAUGGUCCCUCAUCGCUCCACGUGGGCGGCUUUGAUUCCCCUUUCUAAACAUUGGCGCGUGCUUUGGGCGUGAGGGGACCACUUUGUGGUCCAAACCUCCAUUUCGCUCGACGAGUGUCUCCCGUGUCGUUGUCCCGCGAGUGCCCUUGUAGAUAAGCGACGUCGUUUAUGGUCCCCA